CCCGACUCUUACUGGCAGAUGGUUCUCUGUGGUGGAGGGUAACAUUGACAACUUGCUGCAAGCCCAUCACUCCUUCUUCUCAUGAUGCUCUUCUGAUAAGCAUCAAGGAUGUCUGAACACCAAAUGGAAUAGCAGAUGAGAGAAAGAAAGCCAAGAGGAAGGCCAAAAAUGACGGCUGUCAGCACUGGAUUACCCUGCCACAUGUCCUCAAGAGAAGUGCGUGCAUUGUAGUACAUCCGGUACACUCUCACUGGCCAUGAAUCACCUCCAUAGGACUAAGAAUAAAAAUAGAAAGAAUGUAAUGGCAUUGAAAUCCUGUAAGAGAUAAAAAUGCUAGUUUCU
Molecule: long non-coding RNA, 342 nt
Organism: Portunus trituberculatus (swimming crab)
Lineage: Eukaryota; Metazoa; Arthropoda; Malacostraca; Decapoda; Portunidae
Exons: 2
Source: RefSeq, a predicted model, not a curated record